GAUGGUAGGUCCAUCGAUAUCGGCUACUAGAAGCAGGUAUCAAACCACCUCAUGCAGCUGUUAUUAAGAGUAAUGGUUGUGAGUGUUUGAGGAAAGUCAGAGGUAAAUCUGGCGAGG
Molecule: non-coding RNA, 117 nt
Organism: Allofrancisella guangzhouensis
Lineage: Bacteria; Pseudomonadati; Pseudomonadota; Gammaproteobacteria; Thiotrichales; Francisellaceae
Source: Rfam